GACGAACGCUGGCGGCGUGCCUAAUACAUGCAAGUCGAGCGGACCAAAGGGAGCUUGCUCCUGGAGGUUAGCGGCGAACGGGUGAGCAACACGUGGGCAACCUGCCUGUAAGACUGGGAUAACAUCGAGAAAUCGGUGCUAAUACCGGAUAAUAAAAGAACUGCAUGGUUCUUUUUUGAAAGAUGGUUUCGGCUAUCACUUACAGAUGGGCCCGCGGCGCAUUAGCUAGUUGUGGGGUAACGGCUCACCAAGGCGACGAUGCGUAGCCGACCUGAGAGGGUGAUCGGCCACACUGGGACUGAGACACGGCCCAGACUCCUACGGGAGGCAGCAGUAGGGAAUCUUCCGCAAUGGACGAAAGUCUGACGGAGCAACGCCGCGUGAGUGAUGAAGGUUUUCGGAUCGUAAAACUCUGUUGUUAGGGAAGAACAAGUGCCGUUCGAAAGGGCGGCACCUUGACGGUACCUAACGAGAAAGCCACGGCUAACUACGUGCCAGCAGCCGCGGUAAAGUA
RNAcentral lists this ribosomal RNA (514 nucleotides) under uncultured bacterium. RNAcentral describes it as "bacterial SSU rRNA". It matches the Rfam family "Bacterial small subunit ribosomal RNA", at positions 28 to 527 of the family's 1533-position model. The record is from RNAcentral.